UACGAACCGUGCGAACGUUGUUCGGAAUUACUGGGCGUAAAGGGCUCGUAGGCGGCCAACUAAGUCAGUCGUGAAAUCCCUCGGCUUAACCGGGGAACUGCGUGUGAUACUGGAUGGCUUGAGUUCGGGAGAGGGAUGUGGAAUUCCAGGUGUAGCGGUGAAAUGCGUAGAUAUCUGGAGGAACACCGGUGGCGAAGGCGGCAUCCUGGACCGACACUGACGCUGAGGAGCGAAAGCCAGGGGAGCAAACGGG
This 253-nucleotide ribosomal RNA is filed under the name uncultured bacterium. Its description in RNAcentral is "partial 16S ribosomal RNA". It matches the Rfam family "Bacterial small subunit ribosomal RNA", at positions 524 to 776 of the family's 1533-position model. The record is from RNAcentral.